RNAcentral lists this transfer RNA (65 nucleotides) under Cuerna sp. EMHAU-2015-Zz052311. RNAcentral describes it as "tRNA-Phe". Lineage: Eukaryota; Metazoa; Arthropoda; Insecta; Hemiptera; Cicadellidae. The record is from RNAcentral.
UAUUAUAAGGAAAAUUUCCACAACAGUAUCUUCAAUACUAAACUCUUAAAUUAAGCUAUUAUAAC